CCUCCCGGGAUAGCCUUAGUAACGGCGAGAGAAGCGGCAAAAGCUCAAAUUUGAAAUCUGGUACCUUCGGUGCCCGAGUUUGUAAUUUGGAGAGGGCAACUUUGGGGCCGUUCCUUGUCUAUGUUCCUUGGAACAGGACGUCAUAGAGGGUGAGAAUCCCGUGUGGCGAGGAGUGCGGUUCUUUGUAAAGUGCCUUCGAAGAGUCGAGUUGUUUGGGAAUGCAGCUCUAAGUGGGUGGGUAAAUUCCAUCUAAAGCUAAAUAUUGGCGAGAGACCGAUAGCGAACAAGUACAGUGAUGGAAAGAUGAAAAGAACUUUGAAAAGAGAGUGAAAAAGUACGUGAAAUUGUUGAAAGGGAAGGGCAUUUGAUCAGACAUGGUGUUUUGUGCCCUCUGCUCCUUGUGGG
RNAcentral lists this ribosomal RNA (405 nucleotides) under Saccharomyces cerevisiae (brewer's yeast). Its description in RNAcentral is "eukaryotic LSU rRNA". It matches the Rfam family "Eukaryotic large subunit ribosomal RNA", at positions 65 to 465 of the family's 3401-position model. The record is from RNAcentral. Lineage: Eukaryota; Fungi; Ascomycota; Saccharomycetes; Saccharomycetales; Saccharomycetaceae.